CCCACGGUUGCCAGGGGCAGGCCCACUGCUCGGCCCUCUCUCCCACCAGGGCGGCCGGGGCAGCCCUGGGUGCCCUGCUUGCAGGCGCUGCUGGCCACAGUGAGGGAGGGACAACCCACAAGCCUAGGUCUUCUUCAGCGAGUUCCCUCUGAGGCCCACUGGUCCACAAGGCACUUUUUCUAGCCCGGGGUCUGCCUGGCAUGCCCUGGACUCUCCAGAGAUGUUUGCUGUUAGCUCCCCAGGGUGGAAAUGCCAGAUUGGGAGUGGGCAAAGCACUCUCACUAACAAGCCCCGACGUCUGCGGUUUACCUUGGAAAGAGAAGACACUGCUGAGUGGUUGCUGUCCUUCAUUUAUUUCAGAACUCCUACCAGGAAAUGAGAGAAGGAGGUAAAGGCUGCAGAGUCCCCGGUGGACAUGGAACACUCGGCCAGUUAGCCCCUCAUACCUUGUGGGCCAGAGCCCCGCCUGCCGACCUGAUGGGGUCUGCAGACACCUGAGGGGGAGGAGCCUGGACCUUUCUCCUGCACCCCCAGAUCGGCCCCCCAGAGUCCUGGCAGCUGUGCUUGCAGAGGUUCAGACAGGGACUGCGUGCUGGGUGAGGUCACACAGGAAGUCACCCUGAGCGCUGGGUCUCAGCCAGUCCAGUGUUCUAACAAGACAGCUAAUGUUUAGUGUAGGCCUGCAGAAGGCCUGGAAGCUUUUGCGCUUGUGUCCUGAGGGAAGCCAGCCAUCUGGAAAUAAGGCCAACGACAGAGGAGGAGACCACCGAGCUGAAAGGAAGCCCGGCCAACCACACAGAGAAGCACAGAGGGUCCCAGGAGGAUCCUCCCCCUCACCCUCUCUUUUUCUGGUCCUGCUUCUCUGCAGAACCUGCCUAAUCCAGGCUCCCUGAGGCCAGGAGCCAAAUACGAUUUGCCUUUGCCCCUCAGUCUACACAGUGUCAGGCUCAGACUCUCAGAAGCAGAAGACUGGAAAGCACCCAAACAUCCAGAGAGAGGGAAUGGGAGAGUAAACGAGCGGACAGUCACACGACAGAAUAGUGUGGACUCAGAAAAAACUAAGAAGGCUCCCUACUCACUGACACAGACAAGGUCUACAGAAUGCGGUUAGGCGGAAGGAGCAAGAGAUGUACUGAAUUAUUUACGAACAAAAUAAUAUGAUGUCUGGGGUUCACUUCCAAUUAUCCGUGGAUGGGGGAAUGGACGGCAGAAAAGAACCAAGCUUGGCUCUGAAAUAAGAAGACGAAAGCCCCCCUGGAGACCCUACCUGGAGUAAAACGCUGGGAGAAUGGACAGCAAGUCCGGGCUGGAUUGGAGGCGGACCGGGCUGCGAGGGUCUCCACCCCAGACCACUCAGAACCCAGGGAGCAUUGGGCAUUGAAGUGGAUGCGUCCUGGCGGACGAAGAGCUGCACAUCUGGGGACUCCGGGGAGGACUAGGGACACCUUCUGUGGAGGAGGCUUGCGCAGCGGAGCGGCCAGGGGCAUCCGAUCCCUGUUUGGUGCACUGCACCUCUCACGGAGAAGCCUUUGGAAGACCUGCAUCUGCUGCUUUAAAACAAAAGGUCUAUAAAUAGUAGUUUAGGAAAAAGGACUCUGAGUGUGGAGUCAUAAGGCACAGUUUUAGUUGUAGCUCUGACCCUGGGUAGGUUACCUGCCCAUUUUCCAGAUGGAAAUAAUAAUUCUUGCUCCUCCCUGAAUUCUUGGAAUCCAGAGAUAAUUAGGGCUUUGAGUGCUUCUGAAGAGAGAUGUCUGGAAACAUAAGAGCAUCCCGUGAUUCCCGUGGCCUGGGUGGAUGGAGUGGAGACUGAGAGAAGUCAGCAUACAUAACUGAGCUCAGAAAAGGCAGCUAGUCUUCUAGAUUUUAUCUAGAGGGAAGGCAAGAGAGUCUGAGAAGCUAAACAAGCUAUACACUACCACUGUGAACUCAUAUUUACACAACUGUGUGUAGUCUAUGGUCCCAUUUGACCCUUGCCUCAAACCUGCAGGGAUGGGGUUUUUCCCUUUCUGAAGAAGGAGCAACUGAGCCUCCAAGAAGAGCUCAAAGUGACUUGUUUGAAUCCGGGAUACAGCCAGGCCCCAGCCCAUGCACAGUCCUGCUCUCCGCUGAGAUGUGUCCAGGCGCAGCACCUGGGCCUGCUGGUUGCUAGUCAGAAUUGGAGUUGCCCUGUGUCACUGUCUCAUGCAUCUGCCCCUUCAGCAGCAUCUCCUAAGAGCCACAUGGUGUUGAGCACUGCAGGUAAAGGUGGAAUAUGGAGCCGGGCUCUCAGGGAGCUGCUGGUGCUCCUCGGGUCCCUUUUAUGACGUGUGAUGGCAGAGGCUGCAGGACCUCCCCUCAAUUUCCCUUCCCCCAUUCUUUCUCACUAGCAGAACCUUGGGAUACGUAUUCAGCUAAAAAACUACCUUCCCCAGCCACAUUGCAUGUAUGAAUGACCAAUAAAAACUGAUCUCAGUUCUUCCUCCUUCUGGCCU
Artibeus jamaicensis (Jamaican fruit-eating bat) is the source of this 2471-nucleotide long non-coding RNA. RefSeq lists it as uncharacterized. Lineage: Eukaryota; Metazoa; Chordata; Mammalia; Chiroptera; Phyllostomidae. The record is from RefSeq and is a predicted model, not a curated record. The transcript is spliced from 7 exons.